This 291-nucleotide ribosomal RNA is filed under the name uncultured Fluviicola sp. RNAcentral describes it as "partial 16S ribosomal RNA". It matches the Rfam family "Bacterial small subunit ribosomal RNA", at positions 505 to 796 of the family's 1533-position model. The record is from RNAcentral. Lineage: Bacteria; Pseudomonadati; Bacteroidota; Flavobacteriia; Flavobacteriales; Crocinitomicaceae.
GUGUCGCCGCCGCGGUAAUACGGAGGGUGCAAGCGUUAUCCGGAAUCAUUGGGUUUAAAGGGUCCGCAGGCGGAUUUAUAAGUCAGUGGUGAAAGCCUACAGCUCAACUGUAGAACUGCCAUUGAUACUGUAAGUCUUGAAUUCGGUCGAAGUGGGCGGAAUAUGACAUGUAGCGGUGAAAUGCUUAGAUAUGUCAUAGAACACCGAUAGCGAAGGCAGCUCACUAGGCCUGGAUUGACGCUCAGGGACGAAAGCGUGGGGAGCAAACAGGAUUAGAAACCCUGGUAGUCC